RNAcentral lists this ribosomal RNA (492 nucleotides) under uncultured bacterium. Its description in RNAcentral is "partial 16S ribosomal RNA". It matches the Rfam family "Bacterial small subunit ribosomal RNA", at positions 29 to 507 of the family's 1533-position model. The record is from RNAcentral.
AGUGAACGCUGGCGGUAGGCCUAACACAUGCAAGUCGAACGGCAGCACAGUAAGAGCUUGCUCUUACGGGUGGCGAGUGGCGGACGGGUGAGGAAUACAUCGGAAUCUACUUUUUCGUGGGGGAUAACGUAGGGAAACUUACGCUAAUACCGCAUACGACCUACGGGUGAAAGCAGGGGAGCUUCGGACCUUGCGCGAUUGAAUGAGCCGAUGUCGGAUUAGCUAAUUGGCGGGGUAAAGGCCCACCAAGGCGACGAUCCGUAGCUGGUCUGAGAGGAUGAUCAGCCAAACUGGAACUGAGACACGGUUCAGACUCCUACGGGAGGCAGCAGUGGGGAAUAUUGGACAAUGGGCGCAAGCCUGAUCCAGCCAUACCGCGUGGGUGAAGAAGGCCUUCGGGUUGUAAAGCCCUUUUGUUGGGAAAGAAAAGCAGCAGGUUAAUACCCCGCUGUUCUGACGGUACCCAAAGAAUAAGCACCGGCUAACUUCGUG